Molecule: ribosomal RNA, 468 nt
Filed under: uncultured bacterium
Lineage: Bacteria
Description: partial 16S ribosomal RNA
Rfam family: Bacterial small subunit ribosomal RNA
Source: RNAcentral
GACGAACGCUGGCGGCGUGCUUAACACAUGCAAGUCGAACGGAAAGGCACUGCUUGUGUGGGGUGAUCGAGUGGGGAACGGGUGAGUAAGACGAGAGCAACCUGAUCUUGACUUUGGGAUAACUUCAGGAAACUGGGGCUAAUAUCGGAUAGGAGCUCCUGCUGGAGGGAGGGCGGGGGAUCGUUUCGGCGGUCGGGGAUGGACUCGCGGCUUACGGGCUAGUUGGUGGGGGAGUGGCUUACCAAGGCUUUGACGGGUAGCCGGCCUGUGAGGGUGGCCGGCCACAUUGCGCCUGAGAUACGCCCCAGUCUCCUACGGGAGGCAGCAGUGGGGAGUAUUGCACAAUGGGCGGAAGCCUGAUGCGGCAACGCCGCGUGCGGGAUGCCGGCCUUCGGGUUGUAAACCGCUUUCGCCUGUGACGAAGCGUGAGUGACGGUAAUGAGUAAAGAAGCACCGGCUAACUACGUG